Triticum urartu is the source of this 914-nucleotide non-coding RNA. The record is from RefSeq and is a predicted model, not a curated record. Lineage: Eukaryota; Viridiplantae; Streptophyta; Magnoliopsida; Poales; Poaceae.
GAAAGUGGAUCAGCUAUCUGAGGAGGUUGAUUCAUUGAAGGAAACCCUCGACAAGCACUUAUUGCGCCAAUGAGAGCGAAUUUGGGAAGCUAAGGAAAGGGCGGAGCUGUUUGAGAGAGCUAAUGGUGGGCCACCGGAUGUCCUUCAAAUAUUUGACGACGAAGCCUAGGCAAUGCAAUCAGGGAUAUGGUUAGGGUUUGUUAAUUUUAGCUAGGUCUUUGUUGCUGAUCGAUGGCCAGUGGCGCUCUUCUGCUUGGAACAAACACUAUAUGUAGUUGCUGCUCCUCUAGGUUGGGUCGUUGCUACUGCUUUGGCUGUAGCUCUGUGCAGUGGAUUAGGGUCAAUAUUUUGGUUCUGAAAGAAAGAGAGAAACAGAGGAUCAUGUUCUUUCUUGGGUCCAAGACUAAAAGUUGGUUUCUAGGUAUCUGCUGCAAGGCUUGGAUUGACGUAUGUUGGGAUGAUCUCAUAUGGAUAAAUGGUAGAUCAAGGGCUUUUAAUCACUGAAGUAGUAUCCAUACGUAUGACUGGUGAUGCAAAUAAUGGAUGUGGAAACUAUAUGAAUGUCAAGUGGAGAGUUAAAUGAUUUAUCAAUGUUGAUUUUACUAGAAUUAUUCUUGAAUAUCAGUGAUAGGAUCUUGAGACGGCCCUCACGGGAGUGGUCGCCGCCCCCGGUCAACUAUGGUCACCUCCGUUAGCACCCACCGGCAGGAUCCCCCUCCCCCUCGCCUCCCCCUUAACCACCAUUUCAUGUCCACCACUGGGAGGAGCGGCGGUUGCCGCUGGCGCAUAUGCAAAGCCUGGAGACAUCGCCAUCGACGGGAGGAGAAGGACUGUCUUCGUCGCGUUUGUGCACUUCCGUGAAGAGGACAACUCGAGGUGAGGAGAACCGCUUGGCAGGAGGAGCUCAAGCCCAG